UUUCCCUUCGUAUAGAUACCAAGUAAUAUGUUUGAGGGUCUGGAUUUUUUCUGUGAGAUGACCAUCAUCUAUAAAACCCCAAUGGAGAUGCUGGAGCUCAGUACCCACACAAAAGGCUGGCCAUGGAGACACCUGAUGAUAAACCCAGAGAUGGUGGAGAGAAAGAAGAAAGGAGAAUCCAGAGGCCUUGCUGGCCCCGACC
Mastomys coucha (southern multimammate mouse) is the source of this 202-nucleotide long non-coding RNA. RefSeq lists it as uncharacterized. Lineage: Eukaryota; Metazoa; Chordata; Mammalia; Rodentia; Muridae. The transcript has 3 exons. The record is from RefSeq and is a predicted model, not a curated record.